ACUUUAAUUGAAGAGUUUGAUCAUGGCUCAGAUUGAACGCUGGCGGCAGGCCUAACACAUGCAAGUCGAGCGGUAACAGAUUGAUAGCUUGCUAUCAAUGCUGACGAGCGGCGGACGGGUGAGUAAUGCCUGGGAAUAUACCCUGAUGUGGGGGAUAACUAUUGGAAACGAUAGCUAAUACCGCAUAAUCUCUU
This 194-nucleotide ribosomal RNA is filed under the name Photobacterium phosphoreum. RNAcentral describes it as "partial 16S ribosomal RNA". It matches the Rfam family "Bacterial small subunit ribosomal RNA", at positions 1 to 182 of the family's 1533-position model. Lineage: Bacteria; Pseudomonadati; Pseudomonadota; Gammaproteobacteria; Vibrionales; Vibrionaceae. RNAcentral also lists the same sequence under 1 other name. The record is from RNAcentral.